This 76-nucleotide transfer RNA is filed under the name bacterium. RNAcentral's name for it is "tRNA-Val". It matches the Rfam family "tRNA". From Rfam's summary of the family: Transfer RNA (tRNA) molecules are approximately 80 nucleotides in length. Their secondary structure includes four short double-helical elements and three loops (D, anti-codon, and T loops). The record is from RNAcentral.
GGGCGAUUAACUCAGUUGGCAGAGUACCUCGUUUACACCGAGGUUGUCGCAGGUUCGAGCCCUGCAUCGCCCACCA